Molecule: ribosomal RNA, 944 nt
Filed under: Oerskovia enterophila
Lineage: Bacteria; Bacillati; Actinomycetota; Actinomycetes; Micrococcales; Cellulomonadaceae
Description: bacterial SSU rRNA
Rfam family: Bacterial small subunit ribosomal RNA
Source: RNAcentral
CCGUAAGAGCUCGUAGGCGGUUUGUCGCGUCUGGUGUGAAAACUCAAGGCUCAACCUUGAGCUUGCAUCGGGUACGGGCAGACUAGAGUGCGGUAGGGGUGACUGGAAUUCCUGGUGUAGCGGUGGAAUGCGCAGAUAUCAGGAGGAACACCGAUGGCGAAGGCAGGUCACUGGGCCGCAACUGACGCUGAGGAGCGAAAGCAUGGGGAGCGAACAGGAUUAGAUACCCUGGUAGUCCAUGCCGUAAACGUUGGGCACUAGGUGUGGGGCUCAUUCCACGAGUUCCGUGCCGCAGCAAACGCAUUAAGUGCCCCGCCUGGGGAGUACGGCCGCAAGGCUAAAACUCAAAGGAAUUGACGGGGGCCCGCACAAGCGGCGGAGCAUGCGGAUUAAUUCGAUGCAACGCGAAGAACCUUACCAAGGCUUGACAUACACCGGAAACUUCCAGAGAUGGUUGCCCCGCAAGGUCGGUGUACAGGUGGUGCAUGGUUGUCGUCAGCUCGUGUCGUGAGAUGUUGGGUUAAGUCCCGCAACGAGCGCAACCCUCGUCUUAUGUUGCCAGCACGUCAUGGUGGGGACUCAUAAGAGACUGCCGGGGUCAACUCGGAGGAAGGUGGGGAUGACGUCAAAUCAUCAUGCCCCUUAUGUCUUGGGCUUCACGCAUGCUACAAUGGCCGGUACAAAGGGCUGCGAUACCGCGAGGUGGAGCGAAUCCCAAAAAGCCGGUCUCAGUUCGGAUUGGGGUCUGCAACUCGACCCCAUGAAGUCGGAGUCGCUAGUAAUCGCAGAUCAGCAACGCUGCGGUGAAUACGUUCCCGGGCCUUGUACACACCGCCCGUCAAGUCACGAAAGUCGGUACACCCGAAGCCGGUGGUCCAACCCUUUGUGAGGGAGCUGUCGAAGUGGGACUGGCGAUUGGGACUAAGUCGUACCAAGGUAGCCAA